ACUCAAAGGAAUUGACGGGGGCCCGCACAAGCAGCGGAGCGUGUGGUUUAAUUCGAGGCUACACGAAGCACCUUACCUGGACUUGACAUGGGGCGGAACGAGGCUGAAAGGCUGAGGUUCGCAAGACCGCUCCACAGGUGCUGCAUGGCUGUCGUCAGCUCGUGCCGUGAGGUGUUAGGUUAAGUCCUGUAACGAGCGCAACCCCUGGGUCCAGUUACACGUAGUCUGGACCGACUGCCCCCGACAAGUGGGAGGAAGGUGGGGAUGACGUCAAGUCAGCAUGGCCUUUAUGUCCAGGGCUACACACACGCUACAAUGGCCGGUACAAUGGGUCGCCAAGCCGCAAGGCGGAGCCAAUCCAGCAAAGCCGGUCACAGUUCGGAUUGUGGGCUGCAACCCGCCCACAUGAAGUCGGAGUUGCUAGUAACCGCGCGUCAGCCAUAGUGCGGUGAAUACGUUCCCGGGCCUUGCACACACCGCCCGU
RNAcentral lists this ribosomal RNA (484 nucleotides) under uncultured bacterium. RNAcentral describes it as "partial 16S ribosomal RNA". It matches the Rfam family "Bacterial small subunit ribosomal RNA", at positions 899 to 1397 of the family's 1533-position model. The record is from RNAcentral.